Molecule: long non-coding RNA, 683 nt
Filed under: Ananas comosus (pineapple)
Lineage: Eukaryota; Viridiplantae; Streptophyta; Magnoliopsida; Poales; Bromeliaceae
Description: long non-coding RNA (ACOM_LNC009893)
Source: RNAcentral
UAUGCCCUAUAAUUACUUACCUUCAUUUCUCAAUCAAAAUAGUACAAUACAAAAAAUUUAAUUGAUCAAAAGUACAAAUCUAAAUUUUAAAAAAUUUAAAUAGCAGUGCAGAAGUCGGAGGAGAGUUCACUACAACAAAAAUGGUCUAUAGCGACACUUUUAAAUGUAGGUACAUAUCAAAAAAGUGCUGCUAGCUAAAAUUACCGACACUUUUAAAAAGUGUUGCUAUAUGUAGGGUCACUAGGUAUAUAGUGACAGUUAAAGAGUGUCGCUAUAACCUAAAAAAAUGCUGCUAAUUUACCAACACUUAUUUAAGAAUUUAGCAACUACCGAAACUCUAUCUCGUUAGCUGCGGUGGCGGAGGAGGACGACAGGAAUGGCUCUUCGUCUAGAAUUUCAGUAGAUUGAGUGAAGAGAGAAGAAAAUAUGGUAAUUGAUUUUUUUUUUUUCUUUUCUAUUUGUAAUCGAGCCAAAUGGACUGGGUGUGGUGGGUUGAGUAGAGAAAUCUUUUAUUUUUGGUUGGAUUGGGCUUUAUAUUUAGGCAAUAGUAGAUGUUUUUUUAAAUUUUAGCAUAAAUAGGACACUUACUCAAAAGUGUCCCAAACAUGUGUCCCUAUAAUCUAAUUCUGUUGUAGUGGUUAUACAUUAAUUAUUCUAUAUUUUUUAUCCAAAUCCUAUAUUAA